RNAcentral lists this ribosomal RNA (216 nucleotides) under Glomeromycotina sp. Its description in RNAcentral is "partial small subunit ribosomal RNA". The stretch from base 37 to 216 matches the Rfam family "Eukaryotic small subunit ribosomal RNA", at positions 683 to 864 of the family's 1831-position model. Lineage: Eukaryota; Fungi; Glomeromycota. The record is from RNAcentral.
GGGUCAGUAGGUUGGUCGUGCCACCGGUACGUACUGUUCUCACUGAUUCCUCCUUCCUGAAGAACGGUAAUGCCAUUAAUUUGGUGUUGCGGGGAAACAGGACUGUUACUUUGAAUAAAUUAGAGUGUUUAAAGCAAGCUAACGCUUGAAUACAUUAGGAUGGAAUAAUGAAAUAGGACGAUCGAUCCUAUUUUGUUGGUUUCUAGGAUUGACGUA